UUGCUACUUCAAUGCCACCAUGGGUGCAAGGCUCCUCUGCUGGGUAGUGCUAUGUCUCCUGAGAACAGGCUCUAGUGAUGUCCAAGUCACUCAGACCCCAGGACAUCUGGUCAAAGGCAAAGGACAGAGUGCAAAGAUGAAUUGCAUCCCCCCAAAAGAACACCCUGUUGUUUACUGGUACAAACAGACCCAGAACAAAGAGUUUACGUUUUUGAUAUACUUCCAGAAUGAAGACGUUCUCGAUCAAAUUGAGUUGGUCAAGAAGCGAUUCUCAGCUCAAUGCCCAAAAAACGAAGGGUGCAGCCUGGAGAUCAAGACCUCUGAACCAGGAGACUCAGCAGUGUAUUUCUGUGCCAGCAGCCUAUCCACAGCACUGAAAUGUCAGCUCCUCUUAAUGCACAAACUCAUCAUGGGCCCAGCUCAGGAAGCAGGUGAGGUGUUAGGCUGUAGCAGAAGUUAA
Molecule: non-coding RNA, 460 nt
Organism: Pipistrellus kuhlii (Kuhl's pipistrelle)
Lineage: Eukaryota; Metazoa; Chordata; Mammalia; Chiroptera; Vespertilionidae
Source: the annotation of a RefSeq genome assembly